UAGGUGGCAAGCGUUAUCCGGAUUUACUGGGUGUAAAGGGCGAGUAGGCGGGAUAGCAAGUCAGAUGUGAAAUACCGGGGCUCAACCCCGGAGCUGCAUUUGAAACUGUUAUUCUUGAGUGGUGGAGAGGCAAGUGGAAUUCCCGGUGUAGCGGUGGAAUGCGUAGAUAUCGGGAGGAACACCAGUGGCGAAGGCGACUUGCUGGACACUAACUGACGCUGAGGAGCGAAAGCGUGGGGAGCAA
This 244-nucleotide ribosomal RNA is filed under the name uncultured bacterium. Its description in RNAcentral is "partial 16S ribosomal RNA". It matches the Rfam family "Bacterial small subunit ribosomal RNA", at positions 528 to 771 of the family's 1533-position model. The record is from RNAcentral.